UACGUAGGUGGCAAGCGUUGUCCGGAUUUAUUGGGUUUAAAGGGUGCGUAGGCGGCGCGGUAAGUCGGAUGUGAAAUCUCGGAGCUUAACUUCGAAACUGCAUUCGAUACUGCCGUGCUUGAGGACUGGAGAGGAGACUGGAAUUUACGGUGUAGCGGUGAAAUGCGUAGAUAUCGUAAGGAAGACCAGUGGCGAAGGCGGGUCUCUGGACAGUUCCUGACGCUGAGGCACGAAGGUCAGGGGAGCAAACGGG
RNAcentral lists this ribosomal RNA (253 nucleotides) under uncultured bacterium. Its description in RNAcentral is "partial 16S ribosomal RNA". It matches the Rfam family "Bacterial small subunit ribosomal RNA", at positions 524 to 776 of the family's 1533-position model. The record is from RNAcentral.